GCGGCAUGCCUUCACACAUGCAAGUCGAACGGCAGCGCGGCGGGUAACUCCUGWCGGCGAGUGCCGAACGGGUGACWUAAUAUAUCGGAACGUGCCCAAGAGUGGGGAUAACUAGUCGAAAGAUUGGCUAAUACCGCAUACGAUCUACGGAUGAAAGUGGGGGAUCGCAAGACCUCAUGCUCCUGGAGCGGCCGAUAUCUGAUUAGCUAGUUGGUGCGGUAAAAGCCUACCAAGGCGACGAUCAGUAGCUGGUCUGAGAGGACGACCAGCCACACUGGGACUGAGACACGGCCCAGACUCCUACGGGAGGCAGCAGUUGGGAAUUUUGGACAAUGGGGGCAACCGAUCCAGCAAUGCCGCGUGUGUGAAGAAGGCCUUCGGGUUGUAAAGCACUUUUGUCAGGGAAGAAACGGUGACGGCUAAUAUCCCUUGCUAAUGACGGUACCUGAAGAAUAAGGCACCGCUAACUACGUGCCAGCAGCCGCGGUAAUACGUAGGGUGCAAGCGUUAAUCGGAAUUACUGGGCCGUAAAAGCGUGCGCAGGCGGUUGUGUAAGUCAGAUGUGAAAUCCCCGGGCUCAACCUGGGAAUUGCAUUUGAGACUGCACGGCUAGGUGUCAGAGGGGGGUAGAAUUCCACGUGUAGCAGUGAAAUGCGUAGAGAUGUGGAGGAUUACCGAUGGCGAAGGCAGCCCCCUGGGAUAACACUGACGCUCAUGCACGAAAGCGUGGGGAGCAAACAGGAUUAGAUACCCUGGUAGUCCACGCCCUAAACGAUGUCUACUAGUUGUCGGGUCUUAAUUGACUUGGUAACGCAGCUAACGCGUGAUGUAGACCGCCUGGGGAGUACGGUCNGCAAGAUUAAAACUCAAAGGAAUUGACGGGGACCCGCACAAGCGGUGGAUGAUGUGGAUUAAUUCGAUGCAACGCGAAAAACCUUACCUACCCUUGACAUGGUCGGAAUCCUGCUGAGAGGCGGGAGUGCUCGAAAGAGAACCGGCGCACAGGUGCUGCAUGGCUGUCGACAGCUCGUGUCGUGAGAUGUUGGGUUAAGUCCCGCAACGAGCGCAACCCUUGUUAUUAGUUGCUACAUUCAGUUGAGCACUCUAAUGAGACUGCCGGUGACAAACCGGAGGAAGGUGGGGAUGACGUCAAGUCCUCAUGGCCCUUAUGGCGUUAGGGCUUCACACGUCAUACAAUGGUACAUACAGAGGGCGGCUAACCCGCGAGGGGGAGCUAAUCCCAGAAAGUGUAUCGUAGUCCGGAUUGGAGUCUGCAACUCGACUCCAUGAAGUUGGAAUCGCUAGUAAUCGCGGAUCAGCAUGUCGNGGUGAAUACGUUCCCGGGUCUUGUACACACCGCCCGUCACACCAUGGGAGCGGGGUUCACCAGAGGUAGGUAGCCUAACCGCAAGGAGGGGGCAUACCACGGUUGGAUUCGUGACUGGGGUGAGGUCGUAA
RNAcentral lists this ribosomal RNA (1458 nucleotides) under Herbaspirillum sp. NAH4. RNAcentral describes it as "bacterial SSU rRNA". It matches the Rfam family "Bacterial small subunit ribosomal RNA". Lineage: Bacteria; Pseudomonadati; Pseudomonadota; Betaproteobacteria; Burkholderiales; Oxalobacteraceae. The record is from RNAcentral.